RNAcentral lists this long non-coding RNA (522 nucleotides) under Homo sapiens (human). Its description in RNAcentral is "non-protein coding HAND2-AS1:76". Lineage: Eukaryota; Metazoa; Chordata; Mammalia; Primates; Hominidae. The record is from RNAcentral.
AAUGCAAGUGUUUAACAGAUGCUUCACUAUUAAAAUAUUUUCCCCCCAAGUCUCAAAUAUUGAAGAAUCUCUAACCAGGCUCGAAACGCCGGUCUCAGUGGCUAUUGAGUUACCCACCAAGUUACCCCGGUUAGAGCUGUUUGGGGUGGCUCACGUUAUUGCGGCAAACUUUGGAGAUGACGGCUGAGUCCUCCGGGCGAACAUGUCAAGCCGAUUGUAAAUGCUGUUAUUUCCACAUCCUUCAGGGACACCAGUCCCUACGAAGACCUUGGGCGAUUUUGAAGUGCGGGCACCUCGAUUCCCCGAAUCUGUAGUGUGGCUGGUAUCGGUGUUCCCCUGGUUUAACUAGCCUGUUUGUGGAAGUGACUCUGACCGUUCCCUUAAGAAUCUUUAAUGCUCUUACAUGAGAUGAGCCUCAGAACAAGCUAAGAACCAUCGAAAGAACAUCAAGCCUGGAAGGUGACAGAAGGAGCAAUGUGUUCUUGAAGAUGUCACCUCAGCCCACCUGCUCCAAGGACAGUG